UUUUGUAAAGAGUUCAUCCAGAAAGGUUUUUCUUUCCUUAUUAUAAAGGGUACAUUUAAAUAAAAAAUGUUCUUCGUCUUCAACCGAGUUCAUUGAACAAAACUGGCAUGUUCUCUCUGAUCUUGGCAGUGUAAUAUUUUUUCCAUGUUCAUCAAUUUUUCGUUCGUAACGGCCUCUCUCUAUGCGGAGACAAUGAUUGCU
This 201-nucleotide long non-coding RNA is filed under the name Mytilus galloprovincialis (Mediterranean mussel). Lineage: Eukaryota; Metazoa; Mollusca; Bivalvia; Mytilida; Mytilidae. The record is from RNAcentral.